This 465-nucleotide ribosomal RNA is filed under the name uncultured bacterium. RNAcentral's name for it is "partial 16S ribosomal RNA". It matches the Rfam family "Bacterial small subunit ribosomal RNA", at positions 338 to 795 of the family's 1533-position model. The record is from RNAcentral.
CCUACGGGAGGCAGCAGUAGGGAAUCUUCCACAAUGGGCGAAAGCCUGAUGGAGCAACGCCGCGUGGGUGAAGAAGGUCUUCGGAUCGUAAAACCCUGUUGUUAGAGAAGAAAGUGCGUGAGAGUAACUGUUCACGUUUCGACGGUAUCUAACCAGAAAGCCACGGCUAACUACGUGCCAGCAGCCGCGGUAAUACGUAGGUGGCAAGCGUUAUCCGGAUUGAUUGGGCGUAAAGGUAACGCAGGCGGUCUUUUAAGUCUGAUGUGAAAGCCUUCGGCUUAACCGGAGUAGUGCAUUGGAAACUGGGAGACUUGAGUGCAGAAGAGGAGAGUGGAACUCCAUGUGUAGCGGUGAAAUGCGUAGAUAUAUGGAAGAACACCAGUGGCGAAAGCGGCUCUCUGGUCUGUAACUGACGCUGAGGUUCGAAAGCGUGGGUAGCAAACAGGAUUAGAUACCCUAGUAGUC